GACGAACGCUGGCGGCGUGCUUAACACAUGCAAGUCGAACGGAAAGGCCCUGCUUUUGUGGGGUGCUCGAGUGGCGAACGGGUGAGUAACACGUGAGUAACCUGCCCUUGACUUUGGGAUAACUUCAGGAAACUGGGGCUAAUACCGGAUAGGAGCUCCUGCUGCAUGGUGGGGGUUGGAAAGUUUCGGCGGUUGGGGAUGGACUCGCGGCUUAUCAGCUUGUUGGUGGGGUAGUGGCUUACCAAGGCUUUGACGGGUAGCCGGCCUGAGAGGGUGACCGGCCAGCGAGGGACGGAGAUACGGCCGAGACUCACACGGGAGGGAGGAGUGGGGAAUGAUGAACAAAGGGCGGAAGCAUGAUGCAGCAACGACGCCUGCGGGAUGACGGAAUUCGGGUUGUAAACAGAUUUCGCCUGUGAGGAAGCGUGAGGGAAGGUAAUGGGGAAAGAAGCACCGGCAAACUACGU
This 467-nucleotide ribosomal RNA is filed under the name uncultured bacterium. Its description in RNAcentral is "partial 16S ribosomal RNA". It matches the Rfam family "Bacterial small subunit ribosomal RNA", at positions 28 to 506 of the family's 1533-position model. The record is from RNAcentral.